Molecule: ribosomal RNA, 229 nt
Filed under: uncultured bacterium
Lineage: Bacteria
Description: partial 16S ribosomal RNA
Rfam family: Bacterial small subunit ribosomal RNA
Source: RNAcentral
UCCGUAGGUGGAUAAUUAAGUCAGAGGUGAAAUCCUGCAGCUCAACUGUAGAAUUGCCUUUGAAACUGGUUAUCUUGAGUCAUUAUGAAGUGGUUAGAAUGUGUAGUGUAGCGGUGAAAUGCAUAGAUAUUACACAGAAUACCGAUUGCGAAGGCAGAUCACUAAUAAUGUACUGACACUGAUGGACGAAGGCGUGGGUAGCGAACAGGAUUAGAUACCCUGGUAGUCC